UGCAAGUCGAACGAUGAACCACUUCGGUGGGGAUUAGUGGCGAACGGGUGAGUAACACKUGGGCAAUCUGCCCUGCACUCUGGGACAAGCCCUGGAAACGGGGUCUAAUACCGGAUACUGAUCNUCNUGGGCAUCCUUGGKGAUCGAAAGCUCCGGCGGUGCAGGAUGAGCCCGCGGCCUAUCAGCUUGUUGGUGAGGUAAUGGCUCACCAAGGCGACGACGGGUAGCCGGCCUGAGAGGGCGACCGGCCACACUGGGACUGAGACACGGCCCAGACUCCUACGGGAGGCAGCAGUGGGGAAUAUUGCACAAUGGGCGAAAGCCUGAUGCAGCGACGCCGCGUGAGGGAUGACGGCCUUCGGGUUGUAAACCUCUUUCAGCAGGGAAGAAGCGAAAGUGACGGUACCUGCAGAAGAAGCGCCGGCUAACUACGUGCCAGCAGCCGCGGUAAUACGUAGGGCGCGAGCGUUGUCCGGAAUUAUUGGGCGUAAAGAGCUCGUAGGCGGCUUGUCGCGUCGGWUGUGAAAGCCCGGGGCUUAACCCCGGGUCUGCAKUCGAUACGGGCAGGCUAGAGUKCGGUAGGGGAGAUCGGAAUUCCUGGUGUAGCGGUGAAAUGCGCAGAUAUCAGGAGGAACACCGGUGGCGAAGGCGGAUCUCUGGGCCGAUACUGACGCUGAGGAGCGAAAGCGUGGGGAGCGAACAGGAUUAGAUACCCUGGUAGUCCACGCCGUAAACGGUGGGCACUAGGUGUGGGCGACAUUCCACGUCGUCCGUGCCGCAGCUAACGCAUUAAGUG
Molecule: ribosomal RNA, 796 nt
Filed under: Streptomyces sp. KB38
Lineage: Bacteria; Bacillati; Actinomycetota; Actinomycetes; Kitasatosporales; Streptomycetaceae
Description: bacterial SSU rRNA
Rfam family: Bacterial small subunit ribosomal RNA
Source: RNAcentral